GAGAAGCCAAGCAGGGGAAACUGCAGGCUGCUAAAGUGAGAUUUUAAGUGGAUCUCAGCAGGGAACAAGGAAGGUGAAGAAAAGGCCAUGUCACCCAUAAACAACAACAUAACUAGUUGGUCAGUGCUCAGAUUUAAGGAUUAUGGAAGAUGGAAUUAAGAUAACUGCCAUGGCAACAUUUAAUAAAGGUGUUGAGGGCCAUCUAAACCAUCCAGCUGAGCCGGCUCAUCCUCCUGGGCAAUGUGGACCCCAUCAUUGCUGGCUUGGCUUCCAUGGGCUUCCCCAGCAGUGUGUGUGGGGCAUUGAUUCACCCACAUCCCCAUCCAGGCCUCCAAACACCGGGCAUCUUACUACAUUAACCACAAGGGGUACUUUUCUAUGGUCCUGCAGACUUCAUAGACCACCAAGGCCGGCUCACAAACAUCAACGUUGGGUGGUCAGGGAAGGCGCACAGUGCCUGCAUUUUCUGUAACUCUGGCCUAUAUGAGAAGAUGCAAGCCAGGACUUACUUACUUUCUUUCUUUCUUUCUUUCUUUCUUUCUUUCUUUCUUUCUUUCUUUCUUUCUUUCUUUCUUUCUUUCGACUGAAGUAUCCUCUUUUUGUGCACUAGCUGACCACCUUCUCUUCAUUAAA
Pelodiscus sinensis (Chinese soft-shelled turtle) is the source of this 633-nucleotide non-coding RNA. NCBI's taxonomy places the organism in Eukaryota, Metazoa, Chordata, Testudines, Trionychidae. The record is from RefSeq and is a predicted model, not a curated record.